Molecule: ribosomal RNA, 254 nt
Filed under: uncultured bacterium
Lineage: Bacteria
Description: partial 16S ribosomal RNA
Rfam family: Bacterial small subunit ribosomal RNA
Source: RNAcentral
UACGUAGGGGGCAAGCGUUGUCCGGAAUUACUGGGCGUAAAGCGCCUGUAGGCGGGAACGUGCGUCGGACGUGAAAGGCGGGGGCUUAACCCCCGAGCGGCGUUCGAAACGGCGUUUCUUGAGGGUCGAAGAGGAGCGUGGAAUUCCUGGUGUAGCGGUGGAAAUGCGUAGAGAUCAGGAGGAACACCCAUGGCGAAGGCAGCGCUCUGGUCGGCAUCUGACGCUGAGAGGCGAAAGCGUGGGGAGCGAACGGG